UGGGUUGUCAAUGGGGCGCUCGCUCCCGCCUUCCCCUCUCCCCCUUCUGUCCCCUGUCCUGGCUCACUCCCCCGUCUCUGGAGUCCUUCUCCCCGCCCCCCUCCACACCGGCUCGCAGUCUGUGAAUGAAACCCUCCCGCAGCAGCUUUCUUCAACCGACCCCCCCGCGCCGAGCCGCUCCGGCCUCAGACGUGCAGCCCCGGGCACCGCGAGAAGGGGGCAGGGAGCACAGUGACCUUGGGUAUUAACCAGGACACCGAGUGUCUUUACUAUUAUUGUGUUGUUAAAAGGAUAAUAAGGAUUGAAGCGAUCACGGAGUGCAGUCGUGCUGCCUGCUACUGUAGCAGCCUUCGAGCAGAGGUUCAGAACGGUAAACUAGCGAGCCUGGGAAGAGACUGUAACAUAAGGAGAGAGGACUUCCCAUUUAAUACAUCUUUGUAAAAUGCUGUCAAAUAGCAUCUUAUUUCAAACCUUGUCUUUGCCAAUUACUUUUAAAAAGCUAUGAUUUCAUGUACCUUG
Malaclemys terrapin pileata is the source of this 519-nucleotide long non-coding RNA. RefSeq lists it as uncharacterized. The transcript has 2 exons. The record is from RefSeq and is a predicted model, not a curated record. NCBI's taxonomy places the organism in Eukaryota, Metazoa, Chordata, Testudines, Emydidae.